AAAACCAGCAACUCCAAAGCAUGCUCUUAACACUGAAAGGCCGACUGGUAAGAGGAAAUAUGUGAGAAAGAAACCUCUCAGCAAAGCCCCCACAACCAACUUAGCAGUAUCUACAGAAAUCCCAGCAGGCAAAAGGAAGUAUGUGCGACGAAAACCACUCAACAAAAUCUCAACUCCACCAGUGGAAGCAACUGGAAAGUCUGUCAGUACAAUAUCAGUUGAGCCUGCCAAGAAGUCAUGCAGGAGGUCCUUGAACUUUUACACUGAAGGACAGCCUAGAGACAACAAUUCCAAAUGUAAGCUUAAUUCUGAUGAAGAUUCUCAACUACAAGCACAUGAUGUUGGGGAAGGAAAUCAAUCAAAAUCAAUUGUGACUGUAGGGAAUGGAAUUGAAGUGAUAGUGGAAACUACACAAACAGGCAUUGCAUAUGAUCUAAAUCAUUCUGUUAAUCAAAAGCUUCAAGAUUACCUCGCAUUGCCUGAAAAACAGGCACCAAGCACACCAGUAUAUGCAAACAUUGACCCUGCAAGGAGAAUAAGGAACAACAAUUCCCAAGAGAGCCCUGCUGAAAGAGAAGGCCAGGUGACUACUCACAGUGUACAGCAGAAUGCUGCACAAAGCAUGUUGCAAACUGACAAUCAAUUGCCACCAAUCAACCCAAAUGACUCCAUCUGCGGCAAAUACACAACUUUGACCAUGGAAGGACAAUCAAACGGAUCAAAGAGGAAGGUUUUCAGUUGCAUUCAACAGCCAGGCACCUGCAACACAAAUCUAACUGGAAUUUUCUGUAAUGCUUUACCUCAAUAUCAGGCAACAUCUGAGUUCCAAGUUCCAAGCAAUUUCAAGAAGAGGAGGACUGAAAAGGCACAUAUCGCCA
This 878-nucleotide long non-coding RNA is filed under the name Ricinus communis (castor bean). Its description in RNAcentral is "long non-coding RNA (RCOM_LNC002337)". Lineage: Eukaryota; Viridiplantae; Streptophyta; Magnoliopsida; Malpighiales; Euphorbiaceae. The record is from RNAcentral.